CCCUUUAGAUGUUCUGGGCUGCACGCGCGCUACACUGAUACGAUCAACGAGUACUGAAGACCUGGUCCGAAAGGAUUGGGUAAACUUUUGAAAUCGUAUCGUGCUGGGGAUCGAUAAUUGUAAUUAUUUAUCGUGAACGAGGAAUUCCUAGUAAGCGCAAGUCAACAGCUUGCGCUGAUUACGUCCCUGCCCUUUGUACACACCGCCCGUCGCUGCUACCGAUGUUUGGUCCGGUGAAAUCUUAGGACUCGCGACUUUCACUUGCUUUGCUUUCGGGUAGAGCGAGUUUGUUGUGGGGAAUUUGAGUAAACCUUGCUAAAUAGAGGAAGCAAAAGUCGUANCA
Molecule: ribosomal RNA, 343 nt
Filed under: uncultured eukaryote
Lineage: Eukaryota
Description: partial 18S ribosomal RNA
Rfam family: Eukaryotic small subunit ribosomal RNA
Source: RNAcentral